This 433-nucleotide ribosomal RNA is filed under the name uncultured bacterium. RNAcentral's name for it is "partial 16S ribosomal RNA". It matches the Rfam family "Bacterial small subunit ribosomal RNA", at positions 29 to 507 of the family's 1533-position model. The record is from RNAcentral.
AACGAACGCUGGCGGCAUGCCUAACACAUGCAAGUCGAACGAUCCCUUCGGGGAUAGUGGCGCACGGGUGCGUAACGCGUGGGAACCUGCCCUUAGGUUCGGAAUAACUCAGAGAAAUUUGAGCUAAUACCGGAUAAUGUCUUCGGACCAAAGAUUUAUCGCCUUUGGAUGGGCCCGCGUUGGAUUAGCUAGUUGGUGGGGUAAAGGCCUACCAAGGCGACGAUCCAUAGCUGGUCUGAGAGGAUGAUCAGCCACACUGGGACUGAGACACGGCCCAGACUCCUACGGGAGGCAGCAGUGGGGAAUAUUGGACGAUGGGCGAAAGCCUGAUACAGCAAUGCCGCGUGAGUGAUGAAGGCCUUAGGGUUGUAAAGCUCUUUUACCCGGGAUGAUAAUGACAGUACCGGGAGAAUAAGCCCCGGCUAACUCCGUG